This 447-nucleotide ribosomal RNA is filed under the name uncultured bacterium. RNAcentral's name for it is "bacterial SSU rRNA". It matches the Rfam family "Bacterial small subunit ribosomal RNA", at positions 355 to 825 of the family's 1533-position model. The record is from RNAcentral.
UGGGGAAUAUUGGACAAUGGGCGCAAGCCUGAUCCAGCCAUGCCGCGUGAGUGACGAAGGCCUUAGGGUUGUAAAGCUCUUUUGGCGGGGAAGAUAAUGACGGUACCCGCAGAAUAAGCUCCGGCUAACUUCGUGCCAGCAGCCGCGGUAAUACGAAGGGAGCUAGCGUUGUUCGGAAUCACUGGGCGUAAAGCGCACGUAGGUGGGCAGUUAAGUCAGGGGUGAAAGCCCGAGGCUCAACCUCGGAAUUGCCUCUGAUACUGGCUGUCUAGAGUUCGAGAGAGGUGAGUGGAAUUCCUAGUGUAGAGGUGAAAUUCGUAGAUAUUAGGAAGAACACCGGUGGCGAAGGCGGCUCACUGGCUCGAUACUGACACUGAGGCGCGAAAGCGUGGGGAUCAAACAGGAUUAGAUACCCUAGUAGUCCCUGAGCGGGCUGGCAAGGCGCAU